Molecule: ribosomal RNA, 1340 nt
Filed under: uncultured bacterium
Lineage: Bacteria
Description: bacterial SSU rRNA
Rfam family: Bacterial small subunit ribosomal RNA
Source: RNAcentral
GGACGAACGCUGGCGGCGUGCUUAACACAUGCAAGUUGAACGGGCAUACAUGGAAGCUUGCUGAAGUGUAUGUUAGUAGCGGACGGGUGAGUAAUGCAUGAGGACCUGCCUGCCGGAGGGGGACAACAGUUGGAAACGGCUGCUAAUACCCCGUAUGCCGAGAGGUGAAAGGAAUGGAGACAUUCCGCCGGGAGAGGGACUCAUGUCCUAUCAGCUGGUUGGUGAGGUAACGGCUCACCAAGGCGACGACGGGUAGCCGGCCUGAGAGGGCGACCGGCCACACUGGAACUGAGAGACGGUCCAGACUCCUACGGGAGGCAGCAGUGGGGAAUAUUGGGCAAUGGGGGCAACCCUGACCCAGCGACGCCGCGUGAGGGAAGAAGGCCUUCGGGUCGUAAACUUCUUUUGUACGUGAAGAAGCAGAUGACGGUAGCGUACGAAUAAGUCCCGGCUAACUACGUGCCAGCAGCCGCGGUAAUACGUAGGGGGCGAGCGUUACCCGGAAUCACUGGGCGUAAAGGGAGCGUAGGUGGCCUAACAUGUCAACUGUGAAAACCCGGAGCUCAACUCCGGACUUGCAGUUGAAACUGGUAGGCUUGAGGACGGUAGAGGAAGACGGAACUGCCAGUGUAGGGGUAAAAUCCUUAGAUAUUGGCAGGAACGCCGGUGACGAAGGUGGUUUUCUGGGCCGGUUCUGACACUGAUGCUCGAAAGCCAGGGGAGCGAACGGGAUUAGAUACCCCGGUAGUCCUGGCCCUAAACGAUGUUCACUAGGUGUGGGGAGCGGAAAGCCCUCCGUGCUAAAGCUAACGCGAUAAGUGAACCGUCUGGGGAGUACGCCCGCAAGGGUGAAACUCAAAGGAAUUGACGGGGACCCGCACAAGCGGUGGAGCGUGUGGUUUAAUUCGAUGCUAAGCGAAGGACCUUACCAAGGUUUGACAUGCUAAUGGUAGUGAAUUGAAAGAGGAACGACCACACUAUGUGUGGAGUUAGCACAGGUGGUGCACGGCCGUCGUCAGCUCGUGUCGUGAGGUGUUGGGUUAAGUCCCGCAACGAGCGCAACCCCUGCUCUUAGUUACCAGCGGUAAGGCCGGGUACUCUAGGAGGACCGCCGCCGACGAGGCGGAGGAAGGGGGGGAUGAAGUCAGGUAUCGUGCCCCUUAUAUCUUGGGCGACACACGCGCUACAAUGGGUUGGACAGAAGGGACCAAGACAGCGAUGUGGAGGAAAUCCUCAAACCAACCCCCAGUUCAGAUUGCAGGCUGCAACCCGCCUGCAUGAAGCCGGAAUCGCUAGUAAUCGCAGAUCAGCCAAGCUGCGGUGAAUACGUUCCCGGGUCU